Molecule: long non-coding RNA, 124 nt
Organism: Saccostrea cuccullata (small rock oyster)
Lineage: Eukaryota; Metazoa; Mollusca; Bivalvia; Ostreida; Ostreidae
Exons: 3
Source: RefSeq, a predicted model, not a curated record
UGAAAAUUACCAGAGUAGAACAAACCAACACACUGCUUUAUCAAAGGAUGCAUGAUAACAAGAGGUACAUUGAUGAUCAGCUACCUUUAAAAUUUCAAGAGCAUGAACAGAUACUUCUUUCAGC